CAAAGGGUAGUUUAGGAUAAAAUAUUAAUUUUGGGGAUUAAUGAUGAGAAAUUUUCUUUCCUUUGA
RNAcentral lists this transfer RNA (66 nucleotides) under Microconema clavata. RNAcentral describes it as "tRNA-Pro". Lineage: Eukaryota; Metazoa; Arthropoda; Insecta; Orthoptera; Tettigoniidae. The record is from RNAcentral.